This is a long non-coding RNA of Helianthus annuus (common sunflower), 268 nucleotides long. RefSeq lists it as uncharacterized. Lineage: Eukaryota; Viridiplantae; Streptophyta; Magnoliopsida; Asterales; Asteraceae. The transcript has 3 exons. The record is from RefSeq and is a predicted model, not a curated record.
UCGACGAUAAGCAAGAACAAAAGGGGGGAAACCCUAGCUUUCAAGGAUUCUCAAGAUUUGGAAGAAAUUGAGAGCCCAAAUCGAUGCAAGAACCCGAAUUGUCAACCAUCUAAGCUCAAACAACAAUAGGCGUGAAGGAGGAAGGCUCUAACACUAGUAAAGCGGGAGGUGUACAAGAUCGAGGUAAAGCACCUCUAUAGGCGAUUUGGAAAUGGGACGAGCACAUGUUCAAGCCUUAUAAUACCAAGCGCUUCCGCAACUUAUAUGC